GACGAACGCUGGCGGCGUGCCUAAUACAUGCAAGUCGAGCGGACCAAAGGGAGCUUGCUCCUGGAGGUUAGCGGCGAACGGGUGAGUAACACGUGGGCAACCUGCCUGUAAGACUGGGAUAACAUCGAGAAAUCGGUGCUAAUACCGGAUAAUAAAAAGAACUGCAUGGUUCUUUUUGAAAGAUGGUUUCGGCUAUCACUUACAGAUGGGCCGCGGCGCAUUAGCUAGUUGGUGAGGUAACGGCUCACCAAGGCGACGAUGCGUAGCCGACCUGAGAGGGUGAUCGGCCACACUGGGACUGAGACACGGCCCAGACUCCUACGGGAGGCAGCAGUAGGGAAUCUUCCGCAAUGGACGAAAGUCUGACGGAGCAACGCCGCGUGAGUGAUGAAGGUUUUCGGAUCGUAAAACUCUGUUGUUAGGGAAGAACAAGUG
Molecule: ribosomal RNA, 435 nt
Filed under: uncultured bacterium
Lineage: Bacteria
Description: bacterial SSU rRNA
Rfam family: Bacterial small subunit ribosomal RNA
Source: RNAcentral